Molecule: long non-coding RNA, 2172 nt
Filed under: Elaeis guineensis (African oil palm)
Lineage: Eukaryota; Viridiplantae; Streptophyta; Magnoliopsida; Arecales; Arecaceae
Description: long non-coding RNA (EGUI_LNC081281)
Source: RNAcentral
CAGCUGCAGGUAAACUUCGUCCGGACUCCUACGGGAGCCGGACUUCGCAUCUGACCUUAAUUGCAGGUAGAUUUUGUCCGGACUCCUACGGGAGCCGGACCUCGCCCACGGCUUCACCUGCAAAUCUCGUCCGGACUCCUACGGGGGUCGGACUCCGCCCCUGACUCCAAUUGCAGGCAGACUUCGUCCGGACUCCUACGGGAGCCAGACCUCACCCCCGACUCCAAUUGCAGGCAGACUUCGUCCGGACUCCUACGGGAGCCGGAUCUUGCCCACGGCUUCACCAGCAGACUUCGUCCGGACUCCUACGGGAGCCAGAUUUCGCCCACGACUCCAGCUAAACUUCGUUCGGACUCCUACUGGAGUCGGACUUCGCAUCUGACCUUAAUUGCAGGUAGACUUCGUCCGGACUCCUACGGGAGCCGAACCUAGCCCACGGCUUCACCAGCAGACUUCGUCCGGACUCCUACGGGAGCCGGACUUUGCAUCUGACUUUAAUUGCAGGUGGACUUCGUCCGGACUCCUACGGGAACCGGACCUCGCACCUGACUUUAAUUGCAGGUGGAUUUCGUCCGGACUCCUACGGAAGCCGGAUCUCGCACCUGACUUUAAUUGCAGGUAGAUUUCGUCCAGACUCCUACGGAAGCCAGACCUCGUCUCCAACUUCGGCUACGGGAAGACUCCGCCCGGAAUCCUACGGGAGCCGGACUUCAUCCUCGACCUCGACUGAUGGUAAAACUUCAUCCGAACUCCUACAGGAGCCGGGCUCCACCCUCUGCUUCGCUUACAGGUGAACUUCGUCUGGACUCCUACGGGGGUCGGACUUCGCCCCUGACUUUAAUUGCAGGUAGACUUCGCCCAGAUCCCUGCGGGAGCCAGACCUCAUCUCCGACUCCGGCUACGGGAAGACCCCACCCGUAUUCCUACGGGAGCCGGACUUCACCCCCGACUUUGACUGAAGGGAGAUUCCAUCCGAACUUCUGCGAGAGCCGUACUUCUAGCUCCUCUCAGACGGGUGGCUAGCCACCUCUCUCCGCCAUACACCCUAGCCAAACUCCGAUCGAUAGGCUCCAUCACUCCCUGGCAGACCGCAAUAACGGCCACGGCGCUGCUCCACUUCCUGCGACGGAUUUCACGCGACUCCAUCACUUCCUGGCAGACCGCAGUAACGGCCACGGCGCUGCUCCACUUCCUGCGACGGAUUCCACGCGGCUCCAUCACUCCCUGGCAGACCGCAGUAACGGCCACGACACUGUCUCACUUCCUGCGACGGAUUCCACGCGGUUUCAUCAGUCCCUGGCAGGCCACAAUGAUGGCCACGAUCCUGCUCCACUUCCUGCGAUGGAUAUCGUGCGAUUCUUCCAUUCUCUGGCAAGUCGCGACAAUGGACGUCGUUUCGCCCCUCGUGGCAGACUCCACAUGGCACGUCCCGGUGAUAGCCACGGGUCCACUCCACUACUCUCCGCAACAAACUCUUCCUGACUCUGGGCGGCCCACUACCAGACGGUUACGGACAUCGCUAUCAGUUUGUUGCCCCCUCCGCCUAUAAAAAGGGGUCCUCAGAUACGUUAUUCUCUAAGCUCUAUUUUUCUAUCUCAAAACUCUGCUAAAAUUUCUGUUCGAGCACUCCAUUCUUGUUGAGGCAGAGAACUGACUUGAGCGUCGGAGGGUCUUGCCGGAGCAACCCCACCUCCGGUUUAGACUUUUUUUGCAGGUCCCGACGGCGACCGCGACUUUCUCGACUCCCGCUUCGUCGACGCAAGCGAAUUUUUGCACCAACACUAACCAUUUGUUUUGAGUUUGAACCUUUCAAAUUAAAUGGAUAACUUCCUAGCAACUUAAUUUAAAUUUGAACACUUCAUAUUUAAAUUUAAAUAGAAUUUUUUAUCCUCAUUCCUUAUCCACUAGGGUGUGCCUCCAUUUGACAUUCAAAUGGAAUGUGCAUCCCUUUAUUCUCUCGAGAGGAAUCAUCGAUAAACAAGUGGGGCGCCAACACUUGGCACUCUUCCUCCAUAUCCUUUCUUUAGGACAAUAAUAACAACCCAUUCAAAAUUGAAUGGGUAACAUCCAUAUCCAAGCAACUUUCCAAUUGGAUUAGGCUUAACCCUAUCUUAUAGGAAAUCCAAUCGAGAGAAAUCUAGGUCAAAUUAUGUACUAGCAUGAAUAUCUUAG